Molecule: ribosomal RNA, 253 nt
Filed under: uncultured bacterium
Lineage: Bacteria
Description: partial 16S ribosomal RNA
Rfam family: Bacterial small subunit ribosomal RNA
Source: RNAcentral
UACGGAGGGAGCUAGCGUUGUUCGGAAUUACUGGGCGUAAAGCGCACGUAGGCGGCGAUCUAAGUCAGAGGUGAAAGCCCGGGGCUCAACCCCGGAAUUGCCUUUGAGACUGGAUUGCUAGAAUCCGGGAGAGGUGAGUGGAAUUCCGAGUGUAGAGGAGAAAUUCGUAGAUAUUCGGAAGAACACCAGUGGCGAAGGCGGCUCACUGGACCGGCAUUGACGCUGAGGUGCGAAAGCGUGGGGAGCAAACAGG